This 117-nucleotide non-coding RNA is filed under the name Gorilla gorilla gorilla (western lowland gorilla). Lineage: Eukaryota; Metazoa; Chordata; Mammalia; Primates; Hominidae. The record is from Rfam by way of RNAcentral.
GCCGGGUGUGGUGGCUCACACCUGUAAUCCCAGCACUUUAGGAGGCUGAGGCGGGUGGAUCACUUGAGGUCAGGAGUUCGAGACCAGCCUGACCAACAUGGUGAAACCCCAUCUCUA